GAAUGAGUUCGGACGUCCUCGCCGGGCAUAUGAGCGCCACAGCGGCACAGGCCGUGGCUACGGGAUGAAGCGUGAAGGGGCUGGGCGUGGAAAUUGGGGAACUGCAACUGAUGAAGGCCUUGAACAGGACACUGUGGAUGCUGUUAAUCCUGAGGAAACUACUGCC
RNA transcript from Zea mays, 166 nucleotides. It is a transcript of the gene named HABP4_PAI-RBP1 superfamily pseudogene, with no coding region annotated. The record is from RefSeq and is marked validated. NCBI's taxonomy places the organism in Eukaryota, Viridiplantae, Streptophyta, Magnoliopsida, Poales, Poaceae. The transcript is spliced from 2 exons.